AGAUUAUAUAUUUCUUGUUAAUUAAUUUAGUUAAAAAUUUUGUGAGUGAAAAAUAGUUUUUAAUAGAAAAUAAGUAGUUUUAAAUGAAGAAAAAAUAUAACUAUAGAGAAGAGUACUGUAAAGGAAAGAAAAAAUUAAAAAGAAAGAAAAAAUUAAGUUUUGUACCUUGUGUAUAAGGGAAAAUUUAUAUAAUUAAUAUAAUAUUAAGGUCUCGAAAAAAAAAUAGCUAAUUUUAUAGAAGAGUUUUUGUAGGAUAAGAAUUUUUAAUAUAAAAUUAAAGAUGAAAUAUUAGACGAGUUUUAUUAUAUCUAGUUUUUUAAAAAAAAAUUUAAUUUAGUUUUUGUAUUUACAAUAGUACAGAGGUAUAAAGUAGAAAGGGUAAGCUUUUUAUUAUAGAAAAUGAAAUAGAAAGAUAGAUGGAAUAAUAUAAAUGAUCUAGGCUUAAAAGUAGCUAAGUUUUUAGAGUGUUUUAACUAAGUUAUUUGGAGAAAAGAAAGUAAUUCUUUUCUUAAAUAUUAAAAAUUUAUUAGAAAUAUAAAAUGAUAAAAUAAAAUGAUUUUAUUAGUAGAAAAAUUAUUGUGGGGAAAAGAAAAAAAGGAAAGAUAAAGGUUAAAAGUUAAUAAUAGAAAGAUAAAUUAGAGGAAUUCGGCAAAGUUUUUUCUUGCCUGUUUAUCAAAAACAUGUCUAUUUGAAGUUAUAAGAAGUCUAGCCUGCCCACUGAUUUGUAAAAAUUUAAGGGCCGCGGUAUUAUGACCGUGCAAAGGUAGCAUAAUCAUUAGGUUUUUAAAUGAGAUCUUGUAUGAAUGGUUGGACAAAGGGGAAACUAUCUUUAAAAAUAUUUCUUUAAUUUUACUUUUAAGUGAGAAGGCUUAAAUGUUUUAGGAGGACGAUAAGACCCUAUAAAGCUUUACAUUAAAGUUAUAUAAAAUUAAAUUUAGAUUAUAAAAGUUUUGUAUGGUUAUUUGUUUUGUUGGGGAGAUAAAAGUAAAAAUUAUAUUAACUGCUUAAAAAAUAAACACAUAUAGGUGUACUAAAAUUUAUAGAUCCUAUAUAUAUAGAUUUCCAGAUUAAGUUACUUUAGGGAUAACAGUGCAAUUUUUUUUAAGAGUUCAUAUCGAAAAAAGAGUUUACAACCUCGAUGUUGAAUUAAAAUGUCUUUAUAAUGUAGCUGUUAUAUUAGAGGGUCUGUUCGACCUUUAAUUUUUU
Molecule: ribosomal RNA, 1206 nt
Filed under: Mahatha cf. ornatipes NB-2010
Lineage: Eukaryota; Metazoa; Arthropoda; Malacostraca; Decapoda; Gecarcinucidae
Description: partial 16S ribosomal RNA
Source: RNAcentral